RNAcentral lists this ribosomal RNA (253 nucleotides) under uncultured bacterium. RNAcentral's name for it is "partial 16S ribosomal RNA". It matches the Rfam family "Bacterial small subunit ribosomal RNA", at positions 524 to 776 of the family's 1533-position model. The record is from RNAcentral.
UACGGAGGGGGCUAGCGUUGUUCGGAAUUACUGGGCGUAAAGCGCACGUAGGCGGCUUUGCAAGUUAGAGGUGAAAGCCCGGGGCUCAACUCCGGAAUUGCCUUUAAAACUGCAUCGCUAGAAUUGUGGAGAGGUAAGUGGAAUUCCGAGUGUAGAGGUGAAAUUCGUAGAUAUUGGGAAGAACACCGGUGGCGAAGGCGGCUCUCUGGACCGUAACUGACGCUGAGGCGCGAAAGCGUGGGGAGCAAACAGG